RNAcentral lists this ribosomal RNA (253 nucleotides) under uncultured bacterium. Its description in RNAcentral is "partial 16S ribosomal RNA". It matches the Rfam family "Bacterial small subunit ribosomal RNA", at positions 524 to 776 of the family's 1533-position model. The record is from RNAcentral.
UACGUAGGUGGCAAGCGUUAUCCGGAAUUAUUGGGCGUAAAGAGCGCGCAGGUGGUUAAUUAAGUCUGAUGUGAAAGCCCACGGCUUAACCGUGGAGGGUCAUUGGAAACUGGUUGACUUGAGUGCAGAAGAGAGAAGUGGAAUUCCAUGUGUAGCGGUGAAAUGCGUAGAGAUAUGGAGGAACACCAGUGGCGAAGGCGGCUUCCUGGUCUGCAACUGACACUGAGGCGCGAAAGCGUGGGGAGCAAACAGG